UACGUAGGGUCCGAGCGUUGUCCGGAAUUACUGGGCGUAAAGAGCUCGUAGGUGGUUUGUCGCGUUGUUCGUGAAAACUCACAGCUCAACUGUGGGCGUGCGGGCGAUACGGGCAGACUAGAGUACUGCAGGGGAGACUGGAAUUCCUGGUGUAGCGGUGGAAUGCGCAGAUAUCAGGAGGAACACCGGUGGCGAAGGCGGGUCUCUGGGCCGAUACUGACGUGAGGAGCGAAAGCGUGGGGGAGCGAACAGG
RNAcentral lists this ribosomal RNA (253 nucleotides) under uncultured bacterium. RNAcentral's name for it is "partial 16S ribosomal RNA". It matches the Rfam family "Bacterial small subunit ribosomal RNA", at positions 524 to 776 of the family's 1533-position model. The record is from RNAcentral.